This 1238-nucleotide long non-coding RNA is filed under the name Pogona vitticeps (central bearded dragon). RNAcentral's name for it is "lncRNA (ENSPVIG00000023035.1)". Lineage: Eukaryota; Metazoa; Chordata; Lepidosauria; Squamata; Agamidae. The record is from RNAcentral.
ACUUUUUGUUUUGACUGAUAAGUAACCACAGUAAAUGUCAAUUAUGUCCAUGCAAACUAUUAUGAAUGCUAUCUUAAUGCCAUUGAAAGCAUAAAGUAUCCCUGUCUUUGGUGGUUAACAUCCUUAUGUAGCUUCACUAUAUCUAUAAAAUUUCUGUGCUUUCCCAUAUCCCAGAACUUACUUUGAGCAUCUUUUAUUGAACAUAAAUGUAAGAGUGGGUGAAAUCUUUCACGGGACCAUUUAUUGAAGAACAGUAGUGCUCUUUUGUCACUGUGGCAUAGCUUUAGUGAUGUGCUUCUGUAUUUUGACCCCUACCCAAGAAUGUGCACUAGUUAAGUGCUCUGAAGAUCAGAUGAGAAUCUUCAUAAACAAUACUCACACUAGUUUGUAUCAUAGAAACAUAUGGCUCAGCUAUGCUUAGAAACAUAUGACUCAGCUAUGCUAUCUGUAUUUUGACCCCUACCCAAGAAUGUGCACUAGUUAAGUGUUCUGAAGAUCAGAUGAGAGUCUUCAUAAACAAUACUCACUCUAGUUUGCAUCAUAGACACAUAUGACUCAGCUAUGCUUGAAUGCCUUUUGUCCAUUAGAAGUCGUCUUCUGGUAAAGGUCUUGUCAAAUAAACAGCAUUAUAUACAGCUGCUGGCCUUGUUUUUCCGCUGGCAAUAUCCACCACCAUCACAAUCGAAACCUAAGCACUCCAAAGCCUGCAUAUUUGUUUACAAAUUAGUUCAGUUAGAAUUUAAUAGUAUGUGCUCCGUAUUAAAUAGUAAAGAUUGAAGGGUGUCUUAAUUGUACAGAAUGUGCUAAUUUUGUUUUGGAGCAGAUCAGUACAAACUACUGUCUUUGUUGCAUGUUACUGUACUAUAUUUAUGUUACUCAGCCAAUUUGUUAUUAUUUGCUCUGAACAGAAAAGAGUAAACUGAUUUCUUGCUUCACCAGUUCCUUGUGCUAGUAACAAUAAGCAAAUUUAGUGCUGCUUAAUUCCUUGAUUGACAAAACAAGCUAGUACAGCACCAUUAAGCUAUCCUUAUAGAUCAAAGGCCUACAGAGACAAUGGUUUUCUUAAGGCUACUCUGCAAGUCUCUGUAUUCAGCUGAAGUCUGAACAGGGAAUACAUUAGUUCAUUCUUUAAUUGAUAUUUUGUGCUAGAUCCCAGCAGCACAAAAGAUGCUUAUUUUGAUAAAAGUCCUAACUUUCGUAGGUAACGUUUAGAAAUAAAUGCCUUUAAAACAUCUGCA